Molecule: transfer RNA, 63 nt
Filed under: Oreolalax rhodostigmatus (red-spotted toothed toad)
Lineage: Eukaryota; Metazoa; Chordata; Amphibia; Anura; Megophryidae
Description: tRNA-Cys
Rfam family: tRNA
About the family: Transfer RNA (tRNA) molecules are approximately 80 nucleotides in length. Their secondary structure includes four short double-helical elements and three loops (D, anti-codon, and T loops). Further hydrogen bonds mediate the characteristic L-shaped molecular structure. tRNAs have two regions of fundamental functional importance: the anti-codon, which is responsible for specific mRNA codon recognition, and the 3' end, to which the tRNAs corresponding amino acid is attached (by aminoacyl-tRNA synthetases). tRNAs cope with the degeneracy of the genetic code in two manners: having more than one tRNA (with a specific anti-codon) for a particular amino acid; and 'wobble' base-pairing, i.e. permitting non-standard base-pairing at the 3rd anti-codon position.
Source: RNAcentral
GGCCUUGUGGUGAAAUCAUGUCGGAUUGCAAAUCCGGAGAAGCGGAUAACUCCGCCGAGGCUU